Molecule: non-coding RNA, 121 nt
Organism: Picea glauca (white spruce)
Lineage: Eukaryota; Viridiplantae; Streptophyta; Pinopsida; Pinales; Pinaceae
Source: Rfam
ACCUGCCUACAUAAUAGUGUUAAUGCACUCGAUACCAUUAGAACUUUGCAGUUAAGCAUGCUCAAGCUAGAGUAGAACUAGGAUGGGUGACCGCCCAGGAAGUCCUAGUGUUUUACAUGCC